This 582-nucleotide ribosomal RNA is filed under the name uncultured bacterium. RNAcentral's name for it is "partial 16S ribosomal RNA". It matches the Rfam family "Bacterial small subunit ribosomal RNA", at positions 355 to 935 of the family's 1533-position model. The record is from RNAcentral.
UGGGGAAUUUUGGACAAUGGGGGAAACCCUGAUCCAGCCAUCCCGCGUGUGCGAUGAAGGCCUUCGGGUUGUAAAGCACUUUUGGCAGGAAAGAAACGUCGUGGGUUAAUACCCCGCGAAACUGACGGUACCUGCAGGAUAAGCACCGGCUAACUACGUGCCAGCAGCCGCGGUAAUACGUAGGGUGCAAGCGUUAAUCGGAAUUACUGGGCGUAAAGCGUGCGCAGGCGGUUCGGAAAGAAAGAUGUGAAAUCCCAGAGCUUAACUUUGGAACUGCAUUUUUAACUACCGGGCUAGAGUGUGUCAGAGGGAGGUGGAAUUCCGCGUGUAGCAGUGAAAUGCGUAGAUAUGCGGAGGAACACCGAUGGCGAAGGCAGCCUCCUGGGAUAACACUGACGCUCAUGCACGAAAGCGUGGGGAGCAAACAGGAUUAGAUACCCUGGUAGUCCACGCCCUAAACGAUGUCAACUAGCUGUUGGGGUCUUCGGACCUUGGUAGCGCAGCUAACGCGUGAAGUUGACCGCCUGGGGAGUACGGUCGCAAGAUUAAAACUCAAAGGAAUUGACGGGGUCAUAGCUGUUU